CCAUUUUCUGAACGCUUGCCACUAAAAGCAGACACAAAGAGCAGUAAUACUAGGACCCUUCUCAGAAGGAUAGAAACUAGUAGCAUGUAAUUACAGUGCCCAGACCCCAAACUGUGUAGAGAUUACACAUCGCGCUCAUACUUUCUGCAUAAAAGAUAACAAAGAACAGAAUGGACCAGCAGCACCUCGUAGGGGAAAACAAGCACGUGUUCCGAUAUUCCAAGGCGUUGGUGCCGCAUCGCUGUGAACACAUAAACACCCAGGCCCUGCCGAAGGGGACGAGAGCGCGUGGAGGACUGUGCAAGCCUCCUAUCCACUCACAGAGAUCUGGACUGGCUGGACGGACGGCCACUGCUCCCAGAACAGUCCAGUAGCACCCCGGCCUGAACCAGCCUCUCGUGCUCUUUUCGCUCGCAAAAUCUUCCUGGGGAUUAUUUUCUAUUUUAAUUUGAAUUACUUUUUUAAAUCAAACUACGUAUGUGGUUAUUGCGCUAGAGUCACUCAAUAUAAAUAGUUUACACUUUGCCUUUGAUAUUAAUUUGUAUUAUUUUAUAUUUAUGUAUUGGGUGUUUUUUGUAGUGAAGCUCCUCUGCCGCCUCGAUAGAGGAACUAGAUGGUGACUUGAAAAAGCGGAGUUAGUUCAAAAUCUGCAAUCUUUCACCAAGUGUCCAUCCAAAUUAAGAAGAAAGAACGGAAGAAAGGAAGGCGUUUUUUCAUGGUAAGGAAAAUGUAGAAAACAGACUACUCAACCAAAUGAAAGUGUGUUCCAUAAAUUAAUUCAGUCUCCAUCUCAGUUUUUAUUUUGUUUCAAUUCUAUAAAUGCCGUCACAAAGUUGACAAUGAACGGGAGACUGGCAAGACGGAUCUUUUUCUCUUCUCAAAGUAACAGAUUAAGUCUCUUAAUCUCAGUUUUUAAAUAUUUUCUUCCAGGUUUACGCAAUAUUUAAAUAACGGUAUGAUUUAUUUUGCCGAUGAAUAAUUUAGUGAUCAUACAGUUCUUUCAUGUAGUUGUUUGGUAUGCAGUAAAAGCAUGAGCAUACGCUUCUUAGUAAUCCGGUCACAUUCUAGGCUUUAUUGGUGGUCAAUAUUAUAUUUGUUCUUCCGUCAAGUACUUUCGACAAGUUAUUGACUAUCUUGCUAGUUAUCUCUGUGAAAUUGCCUCUUCGAAGUCGGGCGCACGGCGCGAUGGAACAAGUGACCGCGGGUCAGUACGUUUUCACAAACAUUUGAUUCUUUUGUCGAUUUGAAAAUUGACGCAAAAUGUAGUCUACUACACUAGAAAGUAGAAAGCAUUUUCGUAGAAACUAUAUCUUAAUUUUCUGUUUAGUUACUUUAAUUUUGUGUAUUGCUUCCCCCCACCAACUCGCCCCCUCAACAAUUCUCUCAGUUAAUAGUCGAACAUACGGGUAGGUCUUUUUUUCGCACUUUGUAAGAUUUCACUCGUUACGACUCUGCUAUUAAUUAUAUUGUUCACGAUAGUUUGAUGACACACUUAACAAAUGAAAAGAAAAGCGAAGGUGUUUAUGUUUGGUGUCGUACAGCCAACUGCCUUCCUGUCGUUUCUAAAACAGUGGGACAAACCAACAGCAAUCAGGCGCGUAAAAAGGCCUAGAGAAACAUAGUUUGGUAUUUUGAUCAUACAACAAGACAAGACAGCCAUAUACGAGGGUUGACCGCAGGUUCACACACAUUCUUCACGAAAGCAUAUAGGUAUAGAAAAUAAGAAGCACGUAAAAUAGUCAAAUGCAAUGGAAAUCGCAUGUUCUACUAAAUACAAGUUUUCAUUAUGUUCUUUAUGUUGACGAACCUUUGCGUAAAUCACACCACAUUUAGGUCACAUGUUUCAGGUCAACUACCUGAAUUACAUUUAUGAAAAACACUAUGACGCCAUUUCUUCAAUUUGAACAAUAAGCCAGGUGUUAUAAGCACUGCUAAUUGUCAGUUACUUGUCAUGGCAUGUGGCAUGUGCUUGCCGACCGAUGUUUUUUGUGGUAACUUUUUCGAUUUUGCAGUGGUCGGCUACGGACAGCGCCUAAUGGUAUGAAUGGUGGUGUACUUUAGGCUCGUUAAUUGACAUUCUAAUCUAAUGCAUCUAGCUGUCAAGACUCUGUAUUUUGGGCUUCAUUUCGUUUACGUAAAAGUUACGUGAUCCCCCGCAUAUCAAGACUCGGCGCUUCCCCCCACAAACCCGCUUACCUGGGGUUGGUCCGGUUCCAGUAGACGGCAUAGCGAUCAGCCAUCACCUUGGAGCUGGGCUCCUGACUAAAUACACACAUCCAAAGGGCCAGGCAGACGAAAAUGACCAUUUCCACUUGCAGCAUCACUACAGUAAAGUUCGUCACGUACUCCUCUUCGAUGUCAAGCCGGGGAUGCUGCUCUUACAAGCCUGUGUGACACCUUAGCGCUCGCUGCGCCUUCUUUCACAUCGAAAGGCCAGCCGGUGCCUAUGAAUGUCAGCUUCAACUACCGAUAUCUGCAAAUACAAAGAAGCCCAAGAAGCUGUUCGCUUUGGGGGAUGACUUGAAUGAGUUCUUACUUAUAUGGGUGAAUGGCAAAACGGUGACAGGACAGUGCUGUCACCAAAAUCGAAAGUCACUCCGCUAUAGAUCUGAAUCCGUAAAUGUCCCAGAAUAUGUACCGUUUCGGUCAUGUAUCGCAAAUACACCGGUGAAGGUUCCAGCUUGUUUGCAAUUGUGUGAAAAUGUGUUGAGUCCAAACAGUGCAAACGCAAGUCGAGAAUCAGAAGCAAUAUCACAUCAUAGAGGAAUUGAAUCAGACGGUCCGUGGGCUUCUCCAAAAUGAUGUUUUUUCUGUAUGUUUGAUGGCUGCCACAGCACCAAAUGCUUGUAGAAACAAUCAACAGCUCAAGGUUGAAAGUCCUGGAAUUCAGAUAAACAUCGUAAGUGUCCGUGACUCCGGUAGCAAGUCCGUGUUGUCCGCUUACUCAGCCCCGUUCAAGUUCACUGCGCCACGAAGGAGCGUACAAAACAAUCGCGUAUCAUGUCCAAAUGUCCCUCUGUGAUCUCAGCGAGCGCGCAGAAACGGAGCUUGUAUCGUCUCUCAACGAUGUCUUGAAAGUGUCAAGGAUGAAGCAGGGAGGAGUCCCUCUCUAGGGCGAGACUGGAAAUGUUUUUUUUCUCACGAGCAGUAAGAUAUACUGUUGGCGAAGAAGUCCCGGAUUCGAAUGUCAACAUUGCUGCGCACCAUCCGUAUUAUUGGAGGAAUGAGAAAUCAGAUGAAGAUCAUGUGUUAUUUCAGUCUAGUUUCAGGUUCGGGGAAUUAAGGUGAGACCAAAAGCCUUACCAGGCACUCGCCGACUCCGUAACUGUGGGGUUCGCUGUCGGGCGAACGCAGAACGGUUUCAUUGG
Long non-coding RNA from Clupea harengus (Atlantic herring), 3368 nucleotides. NCBI's taxonomy places the organism in Eukaryota, Metazoa, Chordata, Actinopteri, Clupeiformes, Clupeidae. The record is from Ensembl.